This 506-nucleotide ribosomal RNA is filed under the name uncultured bacterium. Its description in RNAcentral is "partial 16S ribosomal RNA". It matches the Rfam family "Bacterial small subunit ribosomal RNA", at positions 28 to 523 of the family's 1533-position model. The record is from RNAcentral.
GAUGAACGCUAGCUACAGGCUUAACACAUGCGAGUCGAGGGGUAACAAGAGAAAAGCUUGCUUUUCUUGUUGACGACCGGCGCACGGGUGAGUAACGCGUAUCCAACCCGCCUACAACUAGGGAAUAACCUUGCGAAAGUAAGACUAAUACCCUAUGAUUUCCUUUGAUGACAUCAGAUUAGGAAUAAAGAUUUAUCGGUUAUAGAUGGGGAUGCGUCUGAUUAGCUUGUUGGCGGGGUAACGGCCCACCAAGGCAAAGAUCAGUAGGGGUUCUGAGAGGAAGGUCCCCCACAUUGGAACUGAGACACGGUCCAAACGCCUACGGGAGGCAGCAGUGAGGAAUAUUGGUCAAUGGGCGGAAGCCUGAACCAGCCAAGUAGCGCGCAGGAUGACGGCCCUAUGGGUUGUAAACUGCUUUUAUACAGGAAUAAAGUUAGCCACGUGUGGUUAUUUGUAGGUACUGUAUGAAUAAGGACCGGCUAAUUCCGUGCCAGCAGCCGCGGUAA